GAGUUCCAAGAGAAGGGAUCAUAAUUUAUGGGUGUGGAAAAGCUAUUAAUGCUUUAAAAUGUGAUAAUAAAUUGAAAUACGCAUGCUAAUUAUAUAACAUAACUUAGUGUAGAAAAGAAAUGUGAGGGUCCCAAACAGGGCGACCUCCAAAAGAAAUUGAAUUGCAAUUGAUAUGAAGCAGAUUCAUAGAUUAGGGACCUCUUACAUCCUGC
This 212-nucleotide unclassified non-coding RNA is filed under the name Hevea brasiliensis (rubber tree). Lineage: Eukaryota; Viridiplantae; Streptophyta; Magnoliopsida; Malpighiales; Euphorbiaceae. The record is from RNAcentral.